Long non-coding RNA from Manihot esculenta (cassava), 2422 nucleotides. RefSeq lists it as uncharacterized. The transcript has 2 exons. Lineage: Eukaryota; Viridiplantae; Streptophyta; Magnoliopsida; Malpighiales; Euphorbiaceae. The record is from RefSeq and is a predicted model, not a curated record.
UACGGUCUCCCAAGUUCGAUCCAACACAGAUGGACUCAAAUGAGGGACCAAAUAUAACUUUUACAAUACUCUAAACAACCCACCAAGAAACCCCUAAAAACAUACCAAAACAUACAUAGAAAUCAAGCAGUAAAAGGUUGGGCAGGUGACUUUUGGCGGCAGGUUCAGCGGUCAAAGGUCCUUCACAGAUCCGAAAGUCAAAACUUUCGGGGGCAGGUUCGGCGGCCUAAAACUCUUCACAGAUCUGAUGGUUAAAACCUUCGGGGGCAGGUUCGGCAACCUAAAGCCCGUUACAGAUCCGAAGGUUGAAAUCUUCGAGGGUAGUUUAGGUGGCCAAAUGGCUGCCUUCCCAAGUAGGUUCAGCGGUCGAACCUUGCUUCGGCGGCCAAACCUGGGUUCUCCAGCAAGGCAGAACCCGAUUCUGUCCUAAAUAUGCAGCCUCCUAAAAGCCUCCAAACACAUAUGCAAAAGCUCAAAAGCAACAGAACACCCUCAACAUGCAUAAGAGAUAUCUAGAUCUAGUCUAAACCUCAACAUGCAUCAUCAAAACCCAAGAGAAAAACGUCCACUAUCAACCCUAAGCUCAAACCUAUCAACUAAAAGAAAAACCAACUUGCAUGCAUCAACAAACCCCCUAAAACACCUAUUGAACUUGCUGAAACCUUUAGAAAGUAGAAGAAAGGUGAAGAUCCAACUUACCUCUUGAAGAAUACUAAAGUGGCAGCAAGCAAGGGGAGGUUUUGGAGAUGGAUGAAAGAGUUCCGAGGGUUCCAAGAGCUAGGAUUCUGAAACACCAUUUAAUCUUCAAAACAACAGCAGAAAAAACAUGAAUUCUUUGAGGGAUUUGAAGAAAUUCAGCAAAAAUGCCAAAGAUGGUGUAUGAACUCACCUCUGCCCGAAAAUGGAGAAAGAAAUCUCGUAUUUUCGAGCUGAUGGCUAUUUAUAGGUGGCUGAGGAAACCACGUUCGGCGGCCGAACCUUAGGAUUCCUCUAAAACUCUUUUCUCUUUCUUUUCUUUUAACACGAUUCAAAAAUUUCAAAUUCAUUUUAUGAAAACCUUAUUUUACCCUUCUAAAUAUCACAGUUUCGGGAUUUCGGAUUCUGAUGGAGAUUCCGUCGGAAAGUGGAAAUUCCGACACUGGAGUUUAGUCGGGUAUUACAUCUAAAUGCUAUUCAUGUAUGUUCAAUUCAGACUAUGAAAAGGGAUAUGCUCAUGCCUUUCUGUCAUUGUUGUUACAGGUAAGCUAAUCUUUUCAAAUUGUGUAAUAUAAUAUUUGUGCAUCUCUCCUAAAAUUCAUCUCAAGAUUUCGCUACUACCACCUUUUGCCAAGGGUUGAUUUUGUAGUUCUCUUCUGGCUGUCUAAUUGAAGUCAGGAACAGCAUUUUGAAUGAGGUGCACCAUGUGAAAUGCAGCCUUGAGUUCCAGCAUCAUAUUGCUCUUUCUUUAUAAUUGGUACACGAUCUUCUAUGAGUUAAAUGAGCGGUGAAAGAGAUCAAAGCAUCGAUCAUACUAUUGUAGUAAGCUGUAGUUUCUCACUCAAUUGAGCUUGCUAAGCUAUAGUUGCUUCCUGUGUUAGAUCUGUAACACUAGCGGAGAGUGAAUCAGGAACUCAGUAGAUUUGACAUGCAUCUGCAAAAAUCUCUGCUGCAAAUCUUUCAUCCAAUUCUUCAGAGGAAGAAUUGGAUAUGUCCUCUCAAGAGGCAUAACAAGGUAAAUAAGAAGCUAGGAUGGUAUACGCCUGUUUCCUUUCCAUUUUCUCUUUGGCGGGUGCAGAAUUGGAGCACGACUCGUGGAUGUAUAUUGAUAAGCUGAUGAAUCAAUAUAUUUACUUCGAACUAAAAAUUUUGUUGAAUAUGAUUCAGGGCUGAUUUUAAUUUGUUUUCUUAAGCACUAUUCAAAGUGGAAAAUUAGUCUGAGGAACCCGCUGCUUCCUUGGUUAGAGGGUUUUACUAUGCAGUCCCAAGACUCAGUCUUGGUGACUUUGUGUUCCAUGUAAUGUAGUAAUUGAUUGACAUGGAUACAAUGCUCUACUUUUCAAGGUCGAUGGGUGAAGCGUUUGCAGAAAAGAGAAGGAUGAGAUUUAACUGCUGUUAUAGAACAAUGGCAGGUGAUUUCAGCUCAAAUGAUAUUUAACCCUUUAAAAGUCGUUCAUCUUUGGUUAUCUGGUAAAAUGAAUUCACCAGGCAGGAUACACAGCAGCUUAUGCUUUGGAAUCAAUAAAGAGCAGUGCUUUUCCAGUUGAGAAUUCAUUUUGACAGAUCUCUAGGAUGGAGAGCUUAAAUUGAAUGCAACUGUUCUGUGGGUGUGGCCCUGACUUUUGAUAAGCAAACAUGUCCCAAAGUAGUUGAUUCACAUGGAUGAAAAUCAUUGACAGAUAUGGAUAGCAUGCUUAUAAAUCAGGUUUCUGAGUAGUUUAUUUAC